GCGGAUAGGGUGCCACGCUUGUGUGCGGAGCAGUGCUGCGGCUUUUGUCGGAGUUGAUUUCUGAGGUCCCCUGGCUCCGGGAAGCUGUUGUGGAGCGUUUCGGUCAGGUGGCUGCAGACGCAAGAGAUGUUUGAACCGCAGGCCGUUGAGUCCCCUGCUUUGGGUAGCUGCCUGCAAUCACAGGAUCUGACAUCUGGAAGGGGCUGUGGGAACGGUCCAGUUCAGCCCUGGAGAGCAACUCUGGGAGAGGCCUUGUGCAAGGUGAGGCGCCCAGGGGCUGAAGACGCAGCAGAGUCCAGGGCUGCCGGUCCCCAGGUCUCCCUUCUGCAUCCUUGAGGAACCCACUUUGUUCCCUUCCUCGCCCUCUUCCGAUUUCUACGUAAACCAGAAAGCCAAUGAGCAUCUUGGCUCAGGCUGUCCGAUCUGCUUUGCCUACCUGCUGCCCCCUCUACACCCCCUCCCGCUGUCUUCCUGGGCUCAUUCCUCACUGCCCACGCUGUCUGCUCAGGGUUCUGACACAGCAAGCACCUGCCACCUCAGGGCCUUUGCUCUGGCUGGUUACUCUUCUUGCAGGGCCCUUCCUCCAACACUUGCUAGCUAAAUGCCCCACCUUCUUCAAGUCUGCUCAGGCCUCCCCAGCUCCUCAGGAGGUGCCCUGGCCACCCUGUUUGGUACCACAACCGUCCCCACCACCACACCCACCCCAGCAACCUCAGUCCGAUGGCUUACUGUUUCCAUGUCACUCCUCCCCUUCUACUACCCUAUGUGACCUUCUUUUUUUUUUUUUUAAGAUUUAUUUAUUUGAAAGUCAGUGUUACACACAGAGAGAAGGAGAGGCACAGAGAGAGAGAGAGAGAGAGAGAGAGAGAGAGAGUUCUUCCAUCCACUGGUUCACUCUCCAAUUGGCCACAAUGGCGGGAGCUGGGCCAAUCCGAAGCCAGGAGUCAGGAGCCUCUUCUGGGUCUCCCAUGCAGGUGCAGGGGCCCAAGGACUUGGGCCACCUUCUACUGCUUUCCCAGGCCAUAGCAGAGAGCUGGAUCAGAAGUGGAGCAGCCGGGACUCGAACUGGUGCCCAUAUGGGAUGCCGGCACUGCAAUGCCACAGCACCAGCCUUGCGAUCUUAUUAUGCCUUUUUGUUUAUCACCCAGUUCCCCCAUUGGAAUCUAAGCCCUGUAAGGACAGAGAUUCUUAGUUUAUUCACUAGCACAGCCCCAGUGCCUGGAGCAGUGCUGGCACAGAGAAGGCACUCAAUAUUGGUGC
Molecule: long non-coding RNA, 1260 nt
Filed under: Oryctolagus cuniculus (rabbit)
Lineage: Eukaryota; Metazoa; Chordata; Mammalia; Lagomorpha; Leporidae
Description: lncRNA (ENSOCUG00000032555.1)
Source: RNAcentral